UGCUGGGGAGAGGGAGUCCUGCUCCUGGAGCUCAGCGCAGAGAGAAUUUGGAGGAACAAGGACAUUGACAGCAGAGGGAAAUGGAGCGUCUCUUCCCAGAGAAAGAUGGUAGUAGCAGUGCUGAGCAGGUGCUCCUUCCCUCCGCCUCCGGCCUCCACAUCGCUCAACGGCGAGCACGAUACAGAUAUACAAGGCAAACUAAAGGUUUCGACUGCUAUUCAGUGCCUCCUCAUUUGUCCCGGAGCCGUAACAGUGGUGCCCUUUCUCUUCUGGCUGCUUUUCCCUGCUUCUGGAGCAGCAGUUAUGGGAGAAGCAGAUGGCUACUGAUUGGGCUUUAGCAAACCUCUGCAAACUUCAGGGACCGUCACUCACUGGAGCAGCGGAGGCCUUCACAGCCCCGCAGGCUGCGCGGGGAAGGAAAAGACCAUCCCCAGAUGCGGAUCGCCCGCCUGAUGGGAACAUGCUGGGCAGUCAGCUCCUGCCAAGGAGCUCGCCCACGUGUAACCCAGAAAGCGGCCACCCAGGGUCCCGGUGGGGAGUUCCGAGUGACAUCCUUGAUAAACUCGACAACACCAAGGCCAUGCGGCCACCGGAGAGACGCCCAGGUCGGGCUGCC
Long non-coding RNA from Gymnogyps californianus (California condor), 616 nucleotides. RefSeq lists it as uncharacterized. NCBI's taxonomy places the organism in Eukaryota, Metazoa, Chordata, Aves, Accipitriformes, Cathartidae. The transcript has 4 exons. The record is from RefSeq and is a predicted model, not a curated record.